RNAcentral lists this microRNA precursor (84 nucleotides) under Helianthus annuus (common sunflower). RNAcentral's name for it is "microRNA MIR1846". It matches the Rfam family "MIR1846 microRNA precursor family", at positions 1 to 86 of the family's 110-position model. The record is from RNAcentral. Lineage: Eukaryota; Viridiplantae; Streptophyta; Magnoliopsida; Asterales; Asteraceae.
CCAUCCAAUCGAAUGGGCCAGCCGAUCGGCUGGGCCGUCGGAUCGGACAGGCCAGCCGAUCGGUUGGGCCAUCCGAUCCAGGCC